CCGCGCUAAGCGGGGAGAUAGCGGUGCCCUGUACCUGCAAUCCGCUACAGCAGGGUGGAAGUCCCGUUCCCCGGCAAGCGCCUGUGGGGCCAGAUCCCGAUAAGGGGCGUUGAGCGUCGGGUCCCGUGCAAUCGCAGGCCGUGAACCAUGUCAGGUCCUGACGGAAGCAGCAUUCAGCGGAAAUCGCGAUGUGCCGCGGAGCAGCCUGAAAGGAGCAACCUGUCGGAGCGUCGCCCGGAGGCGUGUUUGUCAAAGUUCGGGUGCGCGG
RNAcentral lists this signal recognition particle RNA (268 nucleotides) under Eubacteriales bacterium. RNAcentral's name for it is "signal recognition particle sRNA large type". It matches the Rfam family "Bacterial large signal recognition particle RNA". Rfam says of the family: The signal recognition particle (SRP) is a universally conserved ribonucleoprotein involved in the co-translational targeting of proteins to membranes. Archaeal SRP consists of a 7S RNA and homologues of the eukaryotic SRP19 and SRP54 proteins. The record is from RNAcentral. Lineage: Bacteria; Bacillati; Bacillota; Clostridia; Eubacteriales.